CAGUCGCCGCGGUAACACAGAGGGUGCGAGCGUUAAUCGGAUUUACUGGGCGUAAAGCGUGCGUAGGCGGCUUCUUAAGUCGGAUGUGAAAUCCCUGAGCUUAACUUAGGAAUUGCAUUCGAUACUGGGAAGCUAGAGUAUGGGAGAGGAUGGUAGAAUUCCAGGUGUAGCGGUGAAAUGCGUAGAGAUCUGGAGGAAUACCGAUGGCGAAGGCAGCCAUCUGGCCUAAUACUGACGCUGAGGUACGAAAGCAUGGGGAGCAAACAGGAUUAGAUACCCUGUAGUCCCUGUCUCUUAUACC
Molecule: ribosomal RNA, 301 nt
Filed under: uncultured bacterium
Lineage: Bacteria
Description: partial 16S ribosomal RNA
Rfam family: Bacterial small subunit ribosomal RNA
Source: RNAcentral